UGAUUAAAGCACAGUCUGAGGAGCAGCACUGCAGCUGGAGACAGCUUGGGUCCAGCAUGAAGCCUAUUCACAGCCUCUUAUGUGUCACUGUCAUCCUGGUGCUAACUCAACUGGACAUCUCGCCAAUACCAGUUAUUGAGGCCGUAAGUACACCCCAGGGACAAACAGAUUCCAAAACUCCAACUUCCGUAUCCCAGGGACAGGCGACAGAUUCCAAGGUCUCCGCACAAACUGGAUCACCGAUAUCACCGCAAGGGAGUGCCAAGCCACCAGCAACAACCACUGAGUCCUCCAGCUCCAAUGUACUGUUCACCUCGGGAACGAACCUGCUUCUGGGACUCCUGCUGGCUUUCUGUCACCAACAACUCUUGUAGAGGAUGACAGGCGGCUCUGAGGGUCCAACGGAGGCCACAUCACGCAAAGACUACUGAAAGGUUCUGGGGCGGGGGUCCUCAGUGCUUCCAUAAAUCAGCCUGGGGAUUUUACUGUGACUUCAAUCUAGUUAGCUUUCGGGUUUCAUUGUCUUUUUGAUAUGCGCCACGUCAGUUUGAGAUCUUCCUGUGAUAAAAUGAAAAUCCAUCGAAUACUUUGUAACACAAUAUUUGAGAUUUUUUUCUAAUAGAAAUAACAAUUUAUUUCAGGGUGAAUUACAAACAAUCAUGUUGGCAGUGGCUUCUCCACCACCGCUUUAUAACAAAACCGAUGUUCAUGAGCAAUAAUUGAAUAGGUAUGAGCUUGUUCUUGUGUCAACAGCAAAUUCAAUAGAACAAUGGACGCCAAUGCGUUGCCAGAUGGACACGUCAGGCCCAAUAAAAGCUUCAACUUCCUCUGUCUAUUUCCACUGAGUUGCUGAGUUUCCCUGGAACAGACGUGUGAGAGAUUAUUGUUGUUGAAUCUCCAUCUGUAAUUGACUAAUUCUGGGCUUCCAUCAAUUGUAUCAUCUCCAGAUUCUUUUAACAAUCAUUAUGUAAGCGAUUGAAGUGAUCAAUGAGAUGCCGGAAUAAAAUGAUUGCUUUCCAUGUCA
Molecule: long non-coding RNA, 1024 nt
Organism: Rhincodon typus (whale shark)
Lineage: Eukaryota; Metazoa; Chordata; Chondrichthyes; Orectolobiformes; Rhincodontidae
Exons: 2
Source: RefSeq, a predicted model, not a curated record